UGAGGUAACGCCUCCCCAUGGCGGCGGUGCGUAACCGACCUGUGAGGGUGAUCGGCCUCACUGGGACUGGAACACGGCCCAGUCUCCUACGGGAGGCAGCGAUAGGGAAUCUUCCGCAAUGGACGAAGGUCUGACGGAGCAACGCCGCGUGAGUGAUGGAGGCUUUCGGGUCGUAAAACUCUGUUGUUAGGGAAGACCAGGUGCUAGCUGAUUAGGCUGGCACCUUGACCGUACCUAACCAGAAGGCCACGGCUAGCUACGUGCCACCAGCGCGCGGUAAUACUGUUGGGUGGCGAGCCUUAUCCGGGAUCUUUGGGCGUAGACGCGACGCCCAGCGUGGUCUCGUAAGUCUGAUGUGAAAGCCACACCGCUCCACCUGGGGAGGGUCAUUGGAAACUGGGAGACUGGGGUGCGAGAAGGGUGAAAGUGGGAUUCCCAUGUGUAGCGGUGAAGUGCGUAGAGAUGUGGAGGCACACCAUCUGGCGAAAGGGGGCGCCUUUCUGGUCUGUAACUGACACUGAGGCGCGAAAGCGUGGGGGAGCAACACAGGAUUAGAUCCCCUGGUAGUCCACCCCGUAAACGAUGAGUGCUAAGUGUUAGAGGGUUUCCCCCCUUUAGUGCUGGAGCUAACGCUUUAACCACUCCGCCUGGGGAGUACGGCCGCAACACUGAAACUCAAGGAAAUUGACGGGGGCCCCCCCAAGCGGGGGGGCAUGUGCUUUAUUUCGAAGCAACGCGAAGACCCGUCCCAGGUCUUGACAUCCUCUGAACACCCUGGAGAUAGGGCUGCUCCUUCGGGAGCCGAGUGACAGCGUGCUGCACGGUUGUCGUCAGCUCGGGUCGUGGCAUGGUGGGUUAAGUUCCGCGACCAGUCGCUACCCUUGAUCUUUGUUGCCAUCAUUAUGUUGGCCCCUCUAAAGUGGACGCCGCGGACAAACCGGAGGAAGGGCGGGGAGUCGUCAAUUCGUCUGGCCCCUUUUGACCUGGGCUACACACGUGGUACAAUGCGCGGUACAGCGACGUGCGUGACCGCGAGGGGGAGGUAAUUUCCUAAAACCGUUUUCAGUUCG
This 1070-nucleotide ribosomal RNA is filed under the name Bacillus sp. B22(2016). Its description in RNAcentral is "bacterial SSU rRNA". It matches the Rfam family "Bacterial small subunit ribosomal RNA", at positions 253 to 1295 of the family's 1533-position model. The record is from RNAcentral. Lineage: Bacteria; Bacillati; Bacillota; Bacilli; Caryophanales; Bacillaceae.